UUGAAUGAGAUACUGACUUGAGCGUCGAAAGAUCCCUACUGGAGCGAUCUCCGAUCAAGACUUUUCUUACAGGUCUCACUCUCGAAAGAUCGAUCUCGACCGUCCACUCCAGCUCCUCUGAUGCCGGCCAAUAUCUUACACCAACAAUGAUCAUGAAGAGACUAACCCUCCAGGGACCCCAUUUGACCAUCUGAUGCUCCUCGUCCACAAACAAAUCGAGCAAAAAUCAAAGAUGAUGACCAAGCAGGGACUAAUCUUCUAGAAACCCCACCUGGUCAACUAUCACUCUUCAUCCACAGAC
This 301-nucleotide long non-coding RNA is filed under the name Elaeis guineensis (African oil palm). RNAcentral describes it as "long non-coding RNA (EGUI_LNC063398)". The record is from RNAcentral. Lineage: Eukaryota; Viridiplantae; Streptophyta; Magnoliopsida; Arecales; Arecaceae.